CGAACGUUACCUACGAGAAUGGAUUGGUGCCUUCGGGAACUGUGAGACAGGUGCUGCAUGGCUGUCGUCAGCUCGUGUUGUGAAAUGUUGGGUUAAGUCCCGCAACGAGCGCAACCCUUAUCCUUUGUUGCCAGCGGUUAGGCCGGGAACUCAAAGGAGACUGCCAGUGAUAAACUGGAGGAAGGUGGGGAUGACGUCAAGUCAUCAUGGCCCUUACGACCAGGGCUACACACGUGCUACAAUGGCGCAUACAAAGAGAAGCAAUCUCGCGAGAGCAAGCGGACCUCAUAAAGUGCGUCGUAGUCCGGAUUGGAGUCUGCAACUCGACUCCAUGAAGUCGGAAUCGCUAGUAAUCGUGAAUCAGAAUGUCACGGUGAAUACGUUCCCGGGCCUUGUACACACCGCCCGUCACACCAUGGGAGUGGGUUGCAAAAGAAGUAGGUAGCUUAACCUUCGGGAGGGCGCUUACCACUUUGUGAUUCAUGACUGGGGUGAAGUCGUAACAAGGUAAGCGUAGAUGA
RNAcentral lists this ribosomal RNA (521 nucleotides) under uncultured bacterium. Its description in RNAcentral is "bacterial SSU rRNA". It matches the Rfam family "Bacterial small subunit ribosomal RNA", at positions 989 to 1509 of the family's 1533-position model. The record is from RNAcentral.